RNAcentral lists this ribosomal RNA (458 nucleotides) under uncultured bacterium. RNAcentral's name for it is "partial 16S ribosomal RNA". It matches the Rfam family "Bacterial small subunit ribosomal RNA", at positions 338 to 795 of the family's 1533-position model. The record is from RNAcentral.
CCUACGGGAGGCAGCAGUGAGGAAUAUUGGUCAAUGGGCGAGAGCCUGAACCAGCCAAGUCGCGUGAGGGAGUACUGCCCUAUGGGUUGUAAACCUCUUUUGUCGGGGAGCAAAAGCCGGACGUGUCCGGCUGUGAGAGUACCCGAAGAAAAAGCAUCGGCUAACUCCGUGCCAGCAGCCGCGGUAAUACGGAGGAUGCGAGCGGUAUCCGGAUUUAUUGGGGUUAAAGGGGGCGCAGGCGGAUUUUUAAGUCAGCGGUCAAAUCGUGGGGCUCAACCCCAUCCAGCCGUUGAAACUGGGGAUCUAGAGUGUGCGAGAGGUAUGCGGAAUGCGUGGUGUAGCGGUGAAAUGCAUAGAUAUCACGCAGAACCCCGAUUGCGAAGGCAGCAUACCGGUGCACAACUGACGCUCAGGCACGAAAGCGUGGGUAUCGAACAGGAUUAGAUACCCUUGUAGUC